ACAAGAAGGAAUCAGGAGGCAGAGCACAUGGUUAAAGCAUGAGAUGUGAAACCAGGAAGAACCAGGUCUGAACCUUAGCUCCACCAGUGGUAGCCCCAAACCUUGGUCCUUUCUGAGCCUGCUUCUUCAACCCUAAGGAACUCGGAAACGGGACCCAGAAAGUUGUUUUCUGCAAGUGGAUGGAACAACACAAGCAAUCAGUAUCCUGAAACAGGCCCUGUUCCAACAAACUGACCCAGAAAGAGGUUAUACCAAUUAUCUCUCCAGCAAGUAUGAGGACUCCUGUUUCCCUACGUACUCACUACUACAGCAAAGAUAUCAAACAUUGAUACCCACCAAUCUCUGGAUGGAAAAACAAAUCUCAGGGGCCUCACUAUUUUACCCUGGCUGGUUUCGAACUUCUGGGCUCCAGCUACCCCCAAGCCUC
RNAcentral lists this non-coding RNA (427 nucleotides) under Pan troglodytes (chimpanzee). The record is from RNAcentral. Lineage: Eukaryota; Metazoa; Chordata; Mammalia; Primates; Hominidae.